Molecule: long non-coding RNA, 40841 nt
Filed under: Lathyrus oleraceus (garden pea)
Lineage: Eukaryota; Viridiplantae; Streptophyta; Magnoliopsida; Fabales; Fabaceae
Description: Pisum sativum (pea) long non-coding RNA (PSAT_LNC009230)
Source: RNAcentral
GUACUUCAUCUGUUUUGGCCUUUCACGCUUGGAAACACAAGAAUCACGAUCUGCCAUCUCCAUAAGGUCAGAUUUCGAAAUUCUUCAAUGCUCAAAUUGUGAUAUGGAUUUGAUAGGUCUUUGAUUGUAGAUCAUCAUGGUGUUUAUAGUUUUUGAUUUGAUUGAGUAUUGAGAGGGAAAUCUCGAUUUGAACAUUUGAGGUGAAACCUAUUUUUGAUCGAUUCGCUUAGCACAGUUAGAGUUCGGUCAAACCAAUUGGAUAUUCAUGAUCUAGGUUGAAGGACGGUUCCAAUGAUAUAGAGUUUGUAGCAUUUGGUUGAAAAUUGCUCAUCAUCAUUUUCUGGAAAUUGUUGAGUGUUCUUGUUCAAGAACACGAUGAAGAGUGUGUUUGAUCCAUAAUUCGCCUGGCCUUUGUUUGAAUGUUGUUUACCGCCACAUUUUGGCCAAUGAGAACGCUCCAACCAAUUUAAUGGAACGACCGCGUUUGGUGUCGUGGUUCAGUAUUUACGGAUUUGCCAUUAUCAUUUAAAUUCAUCUUUUACUUCAUUUCUUUUUUUCAAUUUCCAUUUCAAUUUCAUACAUGAUCUCCAAAAUUCCAUAACUAAUUCAAAAAUAGUCCAAAUUUUGUGAGAUUUUUUGCAUGAUUCUCCUUAUGAUGUGUAGUUUUUUAUGGUGAUUUUUGUGAUUUUUGUGCACGUGUGAAAAUUAAGAAUGCUUAGGGAUUGAUUGAAUGUAUGCAAUUUGUACAUGUUUUUCCAUAUCACUCAUGAAAUGAUGAUGCUGCCAAAGAAAUUGAUGAAAUUUUUUGUGCAUAUUCUGGACUCUUUGAUGGUGAUUUUGGUAUGUAGUUUGUAAUUUUUGGAUACCUGGUUGAGGAGAUAUGAAUUUUUGAUUAGAGGUGUGACAAUUUGUGUCACACCAAGCUUGAUGAAAUUCAUGAUUUUAUUUGAUGUGCUUAGGGAUGUUGAAUUGAGCCAAUUUUUUUGCAUGAAUGAACAUAUGUAUGUUGAGAUAACAUGUGAAUUUUUCUGGAAUUUUUGAUGGCAUUUCCUAAUUGAUUGAGAUUUUCUCUUCUGUUGGCUCAUUUUGUGACAUUUUGUGACACAUGUUGGAAUUUGAUUUGUGAAAUUCUCAUGGUUAAUUGGAUGGAUGUGAAAUUUGACAUGUGGAUUGAAGACACAUUAUAGUUCAUUAUGGUUUUGAUCCCAUUCAUUUAUCAUGUUGUGUCACUGUUUUAUGAUUUAUGGAAGUUGAUGCUUGUUUUGAUGCCUUGUGUUGGCUUGUUUGAAAUUGUCUGAACUUCUUGAUUUUCAUUGACCUACUUCCUCUUGUCCAAUUGAGCUGAAAUUUGAUAUGCUAUUCAUUGGAUAUGUUCUGUUUAAACUUGAAUUUUUGUGGAAUUAAUUGAAUUGAUUUGGUAUGGAUUUGGUUGAGAUCAUUCUGUUUGGUCUUUUGGGGUUGCAAAUUGCAUGUUUGAUGCCUUUUUGUGCAUGAAAUGAUAAUGGUGAAUGAUAUGAGCAUGGGACCAAUUGCAUUUGUUUAUAAAUUGCUUGAUUGUGAUUUUGGAUAAUUUUCACUUGCUGUUUUGAUUUUUUCAUCUCCUUUGGACCCUAGGCUUGGCCUAGUGGUCUUGUUUCUCAUGUUUGGUUUGGAUUUUCAGGUUGAGAUGAUGGAUAAUUUUCACUUGCUGUUUUGAUUUUUUCAUCUCCUUUGGACCCUAGGCUUGGCCUAGUGGUCUUGUUUCUCAUGUUUGGUUUGGAUUUUCAGGUUGAGAUGCAAAGGCCUUAAGGAGAAAAAAUGCAAGUUGAUUAAAUUGAGUUUGUUUGAUGUUGUAAACUAACUUGUUUUGUUUUGUAGGAUGUUUGGCUCAAUUGAGUUGAGUGUGCUUUGCACAUUGCAUUGGUUGACUGUACAGAUUAAUUGUUGACUUUUGCUGUUUACUGUUGGUUUGUCUGAGUAAUGAUGAUACUUGAUUGAUUUCAGGUACAUUAAGUUGCUAACAGUUCUUUGAGAACUUGCUUGUUGUUGCUUGGUUAUUAAACCAAUUGAGGUAGAAUUUCUAUUCUCCAUGUAGUUUGGAAGACCUGGCCUGUUACUUGGCCAGGCACCUGUCUGAAGUCCUCCUUAAGAGGCGAUGUUUGUGCUUGUUUACUUUUGUGCCAAGCAGGAAAAGCCCUUGAUUAAGGCAAUUGACGGAUAAAAGAGAUAUGUAAUCUAUCUCCCGUUAUUCUGUUGAGUCGUCCCUCUGCUCACACCACUGUGUUGAUGCAUUGGGGCACAAACCCAAGAUCUUGUACAGUUGUACAGUUGUGUCAGAGUCUUGAGCGUAGAAGGGUUCCAUCUUUCUGAACCCACGCUCCUUUGUCUGAAGCUCUCCCUGGCCAGGGAUAAGAGCUGUGAAGUCUAAUCUUCACUCACCUUUCAUCAGCUUCACCCUGACUCUCAAUGUCAGGGUUAAGAGCUAACAUGUACAGAUGACUCGCCUUGGCAGUCUAACCCAUUGUUUAGCCCAUUCUGACUGGAUAUAGUGUGUGCUAUGUGAAUAUUGCUUCUUCUGCUUUGUUUAUGCUUGCAUGCUUGCUUUUCCUGGAUAGGAUUAGCUUGCUGUUGUGCGAGUAGAUAGAAACUCAACCUAGGACCAUUGUGGAAUACAUGAUAACUAUUAGGCUCGGCUCCCUUCUAGUUGGUCAUUUCCCAGUCUCUGGUUAGGAGAUAGUUUCUCCCCUGUUUAGGGGAACUACGUUGCCCUGAUCCUCAUACCAGAUGAGGUACGUAGGCAGGAGGUCGUGUGAGAUCUCUCCGGGCAAACCCUUUUUUUUGUGUUGCUUGACAGUUGCUAGGCUCGAGUUCCCGACUCCUUAGUAACUUGUUGUUGUUUGUUCUUGUUGUGUGCUUGGAAGCUGAUAUAAGUCCAUCAAGUGGCAUUCGGGUUCCAGUGUGGGUUGUUUGGUUCGGAAGCUGACGUAAGUCCAUCGAUUGGCGGUCGGGUUCCACGUUUGCCAUUUGUGUGUUUGUUUUGAUGUCUCAGCGUCUGUGCGUGUGUUUUGUUUCGGCGUGCGUAAGCCGAACUACAGUAGCUCUGAUUCUCGUUCCAGACGAGAUAUGUAGGCAUAGGAUGCGAUGUCCUAGCGAGCCCUCUUCCUCUUAACCCCACCUGUGUUUCUUGUGUGUAUGAUGUUUGUUUUAGCAACCUUUUCUUUCUUUUAGAACGUGGAUCCCGUCGGGUACGACGGACGUGAGGGGUGCUAAUACCUUCCCCUUGCGUAACCGACUCCCUUACCCUUUCUCUUUGGUCGCGAGACCAUGCUUUUCCCAGGUUUACUCUAAGCGUUUCCUCUCCCUUCUUUUGGGAUAAAUAACGCACGGUGGCGGCUCUGUGUUGUUUUUGUUUAAGCCCGCCGGUUGUUUUUCGCGGAUGCGACAGCUGGCGACUCUGCUGGGGAACCUCAUAGAUGUUGACCUGUGCUGGUCCAUCUUCCCUAAGCGAGUUCUUCCUAGCGUUCUAGGAUAGUUUACGUUGCUUGAUUGCUUUAUUUAUUGCAUUUAUUAUUCUGACUGUGUAUAUAUUUGCAUAAAUAUUUGCAUGCAUCAUACUAUCAUGUUGUUGUCCUCUGUACAGGUGGUUCCUCUGUUUUGGGGGUGGGUGUUCUGAGUGAGGCUAAAACCCAGGCCCGAGUAUACACCUAGGAUUAGUGUGGUCUCACGUUCCUCAUUUGCUUUAUUAGCAUAUUAUUGCAACGUGACAUACCACAAGCCGGACGAGAUUCAUCUGAGAGCUCUUCCUUUGUGGAGUACUCCACUCUGGUUGGGUUACCUCUUUUGAACUAUUGACUCUGGUGACCGAUCAUUUCCCGGAUGUUUGGUUUAGACGAUCUUAAGGGAGCUACAAUGGCACACCCGAAAGGGCAAACCCAUUGAGUAUCUCCGCCCGAUUGUCGAGACUAUUAUCCGCCUUAGGAUGACCUGAUUAGAAUUUACCUGUGAGAGACGAUCUUAAGGGAGCUACAAUGGCACACCCGAAAGGGCAAACCCAUUGAGUAUCUCCGCCCGAUUGUCGAGACUAUUAUCCGCCUUAGGAUGACCUGAUUAGAAUUUACCUGUGAGGGGAGGGUAUUUCUUUCAGAUGCUUUGUUCAGAUGGUGACUUUGAUGGUGACUUUUGGUUCCGUUGAUCAGAGUCAUAUUUAUAAGUCGGAUUUAUGGUCAUUUAUUUCUGAGACGCCGGAGUGUUGUCCAAGUUAUUUAUCAGUGGGGAUCCGUUUAUUUCAGGAUUCCCCUGGCCGAUUCAGAGAUUGUUAUGGGUAUCUGCUCAGAGUUUUGUCUGAUGAUGAUGGUGAUGUAUCUUCCGUUUAUUUCGGAACCCUUGAGUUGGAUUUGUGGUUACAUACUCCCUCAGAUGGUUGUGAUCGGUUCAGAGAUCAGGGCCGUGACUCAGAGCAACAGAUGAUCAGAUGACUUUGAGGAUAGCACUAUGCAUUGCAUUCAUUCAUCAGCAUCAUCACAUUUUGCAUUUACCUGCAUCUAACACAUGUUUAUCCGUAUGCAGGGACAUUUUUGCUCGAGAUCCUGGUUGAGAGAUUUCUGCUCAGAUAUGAGGACCGGUUUGAAGCCUGAUGUUGUCUAUAGCUUCUUUGACCCAGAGAUUGGUGUACUGAGAGAUAUGAUAGCAUUGAUUACACCCGACACAGUGGGGAUGUUCAGAGAGUCAUACGGUAGUAUUCUGAAGAUGGUUUUCCGACUCACUGACAGCGACAGGAGCGCCAUUCAUACUCUUCUCCAGUUCUAUGACCCGGGGCUGAGAUGUUUUGUGUUUCCAGAUUAUUUGUUGGGACCUCUGAUGGAGGAUUAUGCUAGCAUCCUGGGUAUGCAGAUCCGUGAUCAGAUUCCUUUCCAUGUUACUAGGGUGGAGCCUGACAUCCUUGGGAUUUCCCGUGCUCUUUAUUUGAGUCCGAAGAUGGCCAAGGAGGGUUUGAAGGAGAAAGGAAAGUUACCAGGUUUUCACUUGAGUUUCUUGGAGGCUAAAGCCAAGGAAUAUGCUGCUAUGGGUAACUGGAAGACGGUUUGUGUCUUGAUUGCUGUGAGCAUUUAUGGUGUCAUCAUGUUUCCUAAUCAGAAGAGCUUUGUGGACCAUAAUGCUAUCAGAUUGUUUAUACAGAGGAACCCUAUUCCAACUCUGAUCGGAGAUGUCUAUUACUCGAUUCAUAACAGGAAUAAGAAGAGACGUGGGGGCUUGAUCCGGUGCUGUGCUCAGUUACUGUUCAGGUGGUUUAUGGGGUAUUUGCCUUCCCGAGGUGCUUUCGCUUCUCUUGAUCCUACAGUCAAGUGGUCGGUCAGAUUGAUGGGUUUGCGGGCUACUGACAUAGCUUGGACUCAUAACGGUAUGGCUGGACGAGAUUUCAUAUAUAGCUGUGGGAGAUUUCCCAAUGUGCCUCUUGUAGGAGUUCAUGGUUGCAUUAAUUACAACCCGACGCUUCUUAGGAGACAAAUGGGGUUUGCCAUGGAGGUUCCUCCUCUCGAGCGAGAGAUUCAGAAGUCCUUUUACUUCUCAGCUGAGGGCAAUCAGGCCAAGCUGGAGCAGGUGUCUGGGGCAUGGCGUAAUAUUCAGAGAAAGGGUAAAGUUCCUUUUGGCAAGGUCAACAGUCAGUCUUUUCCUCCAUUUGAUGAUUGGCUUCGGAAGAGGGUCGAGAUCACACUUCUACCAUUUCCGGGAGGUGAUCCUUGGUGUCCUAUGAUUGAGGGUCCGAGUUCUUCUGUCAGUAUGGAAGAAUUCCUCGAGAUGAAGAGGGCCAGAGAUCAGUUGCUUGCGGAGAAAGCUGAAUUGGAGAUGAGUGUUGCUCGGAUUCAGACAGCCAACCAGGAGAUCAAAGUGAAGAUGGAAGAUCAAGACAAGCGACAUGCCUUAGAAGCAAAGCGCUUUGAGAUGGAUACUACCUACUAUGGGAAGAUCAGCCAAGCCUUAACGUCAUCUACCAGAGAGCACGAUAUCACCAAAGAGAGAUUGGCUAGAGCUGCAAAGGUUAUUGAAGACGAGAAGAGGAGGCAAAUCCUCGUGAGAGAUCAGAGGGACGACAGAGUCCGAGUUCCCAUCACUGAGUAGGACCAUUGUGGAAUACAUGAUAACUAUUAGGCUCGAGUCAGCUCCCUUCUAGUUGGUCAUUUCCCAGUCUCUGAUUAGGAGAUAGUUUCUCCCCUGUUUAGGGGAACUACGUUGCCCUGAUCCUCAUACCAGAUGAGGUACGUAGGCAGGAGGUCGUGCGAGAUCUCUCCGGGCAAACCCUUUUUUUUUGUGUGUUGCUUGACAGUUGCUAGGCUCGAGUUCCCGACUCCUUAGUAACUUGUUGUUGUUUGUUCUUGUUGUGUGCUUGGAAGCUGAUAUAAGUCCAUCAAGUGGCAUUCGGGUUCCAGUGUGGGUUGUUUGGUUUGGAAGCUGACGUAAGUCCAUCGAUUGGCGGUCGGGUUCCACGUUUGCCAUUUGUGUGUUUGUUUUGAUGUCUCAGCGUCUGUGCGUGUGUUUUGUUUCGGCGUACGUAAGCCGAACUACAGUAGCUCUGAUUCUCGUUCCAGACGAGAUAUGUAGGCAUAUGAUGCGAUGUCCUAGCGAGCCCUCUUCCUCUUAACACCACCUGUGUUUCUUGUGUGUGUGAUGUUUGUUUUAGCAACCUUUUCUUUCUUUUAGAACGUGGAUCCCGUCGAGUACGACGGACGUGAGGGGUGCUAAUACCUUCCCCUUGCGUAACCGACUCCCUUACCCUUUCUCUUUACGUGGAUCCCGUCGAGUACGACGGACGUGAGGGGUGCUAAUACCUUCCCCUUGCGUAACCGACUCCCUUACCCUUUCUCUUUGGUCGCGAGACCAUGCUUUUCCCAGGUUUACUUUGAGCGUUUCCUCUCCCUUCUUUUGGGAUAAAUAACGCACGGUGGCGGCUCUGUGUUGUUUUUGUUUCAGCCCGCCGGUUGUUUUUCGCGGAUGCGACAGUCUGCGAUCUAUUAUGAGUUGAAGCAAGCUACUAUGAACUUGAAUGGUGUUUUGGAAAGUGUGGGUGGGGACAUGAUGGAAAAGUAUAAUAGAUAGAGUGUGUUCUACUAAGAUGAACAAGUUGAUUUAUUUUGGAUCCAAGAUACAAGUUAAGUUAUAUUGAGUGGACUUUUAAGGAUAUGUAUGGAGUUGGAUCUGUGUUUGCUACCGAGUUGAUCAAAUCUAUAAAAGAGAGCUUACAAAAAUUGUAUGAUUGGUAUAAGUAAUCUUAUGACCAAAAUCAUAAUAGGUAACUUCUUGGUAGUGGUGAAAACAAUGUUUCCAAUGAUGAAACAACAGCUGGCCGUCCUUCACUAAUGGCUAGAGCCGAUGCUUUUGAGCAACAUUUAGAGGAACAAGACUCGAUUGAUCAACAAAAUGAGCUUAAGGGUUUUUACUCUAGUAAGUGUGUCAAAAGGGAUCCUAAAUUUGACCUUCUUGUGUGGUGGAAACACAAUUCAACAUAAUAUCCUAUUUCAUCUACAAUAACUAAAGAUAUUUUUGCAACACCAGUGUCUACGGUUGCAUCAGAAAGUGCCUUCAGUACGGGAGGGAGAGUCUUAGAAACUUAUAGUAUCUCCCUAAAACCUGAAAUGGCAGAGGCAUUAAUUUGCACCCAGAAUUGGUUAAAGUCGUCUUUUACCUAUUUCAAAGACUUGAACCUCAUGGAAGAUUUUGAGAUUUCUGAAGAUAUUAUAGCAGGUAAAAUUAUUUCUAAAAAUGUUAUAUCUUUAUUUCAUAAUUGUUAUAUCUUUCUAAAAAAAUGUUUAUUUCAUUAUUUCAAAAUUUGAAGAAAUUUCUUCUGCAGCAAGAAGAGGAUCUUUACCGUCUCAGCCACAACCUUCUAGUUAUUGUUGAAAAAUAUGGAGGUAUAUUUACUUUAUUAAUUUGAUUUACUUAUUACUUUAUUCCUUUUUAAAGCUUAAUAUUUUUCUUGUUUAUUUUUCAGUUCAACUAUGUUUUUUGAAGUCAUAUGUGACUUAUAUUUUGUGACCACUCAAUGGCCAAACAAUAUAUAUUUUGUCAUGUGGAUUUUGAAGAUAUUCAAGCUAGCCAAAUUUUGGUAUGCAUCAAACAAUAUAUUAUUGUGUUAAUUAUCAUUAGUGGUUUAUUAGUUGGAUUUAAUACUAAUCAAUUCUGAACUAAAGUUGGUAAUGUCAUGGUCGGUUGUCCAUUAGUUAGAUGAAGUACUGCUAAUUGUGUCAAUAGAACAUUUUGAGGCCAUGCAGGGACAGCUUGGUAAAACUGUGACGAUACGCUAUAUAGUCAGGAUCAAUUGAUACAUUUUGUAACAUCUUGGUAAAUGAGCAGCAACAUACGCUACGUUAAUUAACAGUGUUAUGUUACUGGUUAACAAAUAGUGUCAUGUUAUUAUUUUUUCAUUAUUUCUUGAUUUUCUCUUACAGGCUGAAAAUGAUGCAGUUGACCAAGACCUUCAAAAUUGAUGUGUGUUGACUUUAUAUCGGUAUGCCUUUACAUGUGUAGAAUUGACGGUUUUGAUUUGAUUAAGCAUUGUUUAUCUCUUCAUGAUAGCCAUAUGGUAGUGGUAGUUUAUUGUUUCCCAUUCCUUGAAGAGUUUGACAUCAUCUUUUCAUUGGAUUCUCAAGCAUAUGAUUUUGGUGUAACAAAGUUAUGUUCCAUGGGAUUAUUAAAGAUAAUGGUGGGAAGAAUAAAUAUUUUGUUAAAAUAAAAUAUUCACUCUUGACACAUAUGGGUUAAAUUGAAAUCCAUUUGAUGUUGUAGAAUUUCAUUUGUAUCGGAACUGUUAGGAUCUGCCACUUGAACUUGUUGGAAUCGAUGUUAACUCAAUGAUAUUUGUUGCUAUUGUGACAUGAUUGGUUGUAAAACAAGUUAAACUCAACUAGUGAUGCUUAGAAUAAUUACAAUGCUAGUUCACUAAAGCUAAAUGGUAGAUUGGCUCUAAUGAUUUAACUUCUACCAGUGUUAAUCAACAUUUAUAUUUAUUAAUUAUGGUUGAUAUUGUAGUUUUGAUUUGGGUAUGUUUUAUGAGUUUUUACCUUAUGCUGAGAAAUGUUGAAAUCGGUUUUGAAUUGCAGGUUAGGUGAGAGAGGAAUGCAUGUUGAAGAACUAGCAAGAGAGCUCAAGUUAUUAUUGGACAUGAUCAAGUCAGUUCUCUUAUUUUUUAUAUUGUCUUGUUAUGGGUAUGAUAAGCAUUUGCUUAUGAUUUAAACUAAAAUUUGUUCAUAAUUCCAGGUUGUCUGUAAAAUCUCUUGAAGAUGAAGGUAUGGUAUUCUCCAUACUCCCACAAAAAACUAGCUUGAUAUUUUAUACCAUUGAAAGAGUUUAGAUGAGGACCAUGCUAGUAUAGGACAAGAACCACCAAUGAUAUUGGUGUUGAUUUGUUUUGAUUCAAUGGUUAAUGUAGAUAUUUUUUGGAUCAAUUAAUCUAUUAUAUGCUUAAAAAAAGUAUGAAUCUUGUUUGUUAACUAAGUUACUUAACAUCGAUGAUGUUAAGUCUAAAAUUAAAAUUUUAUCGAUAAUGUUAUGGUCUGGCUUAGGUGGAAGUGGAAGCACUUGUAAUUCAAGAACCAAAACUUAACACAAAUAUUUUGAGUCCUAUCAUCCAAAGACCAACAAUUUGCAACUGUUUUAUAUACUUUAAAAAUUUCUCUUGUUUUUCAUGUAUUUUGAGUAUUUGUAUAUGAUAUAGUGGUUGUAAUUUAUUCAUUUCUUUUUAAGGUAUGUGUGGAAGUAGCAUAACAUUUGUUACUUUGGAAUGAAGUUUUUGAUACUUUGAAUUUAUUUUGAAUCUAAGUUGUAGUAAUUUGUAGCUCAAAAUAUUAUCAAAAUGUAUUACUGGGCUCAAAAUAAUAUCAACCUAAUAAAACCGAUUAAACCGGUUUCAUAACCCGCAAUCCGUACUAACCCAACCCGUCCAAAUCGAUUACAAAAAUGGGGAAAAAUGGGCUUAUAUGGCUCAACCGCGGGUUGGGAUGAGUGAGGCUUUUGGGCCCGAAACCGCCCAACCUGGCCCGUUUUCCAGCCCUACCCGCUGAUAUCCGUAUUCGUUAACUAAUUAUAAAAUUGUCUAAAUAUUACUAGUUUACUAUACUUUAUCUUUUCAUCUUCUUAAAAAUUAGUCUUCUUUUCAUCUUCUCUUUCUCUCUCUCUCUCUCUCUCUCUCUCUCUCUCUCUCGAUAGUUUCAAACUUUAAGUUAUACCUUUUGUUUCCCCCUCUCUCCCAUUCCUUUUAAAAAAUUAGUCUUCUUUUCAUCUUCUCUUUCUCUCUCUCUCUCUCUCUCUCUCUCUCUCUCUCUCGAUAGUUUCAAACUUUAAGUUAUACCUUUUGUUUCCCCCUCUCUCCCAUUCCUUUUAAAAAUCGUUCCAUCCACCAAAUUCCAUCAUCAUAUUAUCUUAACUCCCCAAAAUCAUAACCUCUCAACCUAUCUUUCUUCCUAAACCGUUUCUCAAAGAACUCACUCUCAACUUUCCAUCUCACUCAUUAUCAGAAACAUCCCAUUAUCCCUAAACACUCAAACUCUAAUUUUAUCAUAAAGCUCAACUACAAUCAGGGGUGCUACAAAACCAGUGCCCGCAAAAAUGUCAUGCCCGUGGUAGACUCCUCAGAUGAUGAUAUGUUUGAUGGUGAAACUUUCAUCAAUAAUGAUGCUAUCCAACAAUUCACCGAUUACUUAUCAGGAAUGAGCAUGCAUUCUGAAAGAGGUUUCAUCUCGGACAUCCAAGAUUAAAACCUAGGUCUCCCUAGAGACAUGAGAAAGCUGAUAGAAACAAUGAAGUGGACCAUGUUUUUCCAGCAACCAUAACCAUACAACAUUCAGAUCAUGAAAUAGUUUUAUGAAAAUUUGGUUGACACCACCAACAAAAAGGCUGAAGUGGUGGUGAGGGGCGUGAAGGCAUCUUAUUCUGAAGGAACUAUCAACAUGUUGUUCAAAUUGGGACAAGUUGAAGACAGGUUACCAAGAACUCUUAUUGGCCUAUGAUGAUGCUUAUUGUGAUGUAUACAUGGAGUCCCUUUGCAACCCAAGAACCGAGUGGGUAGAGACUGGUGGAGAAAAGACUGUGAAGAGAAUGGAUUUGCAUUCAGAAUCCAAACUUUGGUAUCAGUUUAUUAAGCAUUCCUUACGACCUACAACCCACAAUGAAAUUGUUUGGUGUUGCUACAUUGCAUCACUUAUGGAGAAAGUAACAACGUGGGCAAGAUCGUUGUUCAAGAGAUACAAGCUUUCUCUAAAAAGAAAGGAGGUAUGAUUUUAUUUCCCCUGUUUGGUAUCUACUCUCUGUAGCGGUAAAUUCAUGACCACCAAGCUAUGGAUAAGCUUAACGUUAAUAAAACUAGAGUCACCACCGCACUUUUAUUGUUUCUAAAGGAAAAGGGAAAAGUACGAACAAAACCCAAAGAUAACAAGUUUUCAAAUCAAAACUAAUAAAAUGCCAGAGAUUACAGGUAAGGGGGUUGGUUACACAGAGGGAAGGUGUUAGCACCCAAAGUGUCCUAGGUACUCCUAGGGAGACCUUUUUUAUAUGUGCAUAUGUGUUUGGUAUAAAAGAUGUUUGAGAAAAAUAGAGUGUGGGGAUGAGAAAAGAAUUUAUUGAUUAUAUUUUUGUGUUUGACAAGACCUUCGAACUUGUGUCUACGUACCAACAUAAAAAUGAGGGAUCAAAAUCUCGUAGUUCGUGGUAAAAAUUUCAAAGUUGGUGAAUUGCUUUUAACAAAAGUUUAAAUAAGAAAAGGGCACAAAGGGCCAAAAGUUGAAUGGAGUUGUCAGUUUUUUUGUCUUUUGAAAUUUUAAGUCAAUAUGAUUAAGUUUAUUUACAAUUUUGAUUUAAGAAAAAGAGUUUGAAAAUUCAAUGGCAUAAGGACAAAGUUUCUAAUCAUUAAAAAUAAAGUCUAGGUUUAAAAUCACAAGCAAAGAAAGUUUUUGAAAAGAGGGAGAGAUUUUGAAAUUUAGAAGUGGGAGGAGAUGAAGAGACUAUCCUAAGCACAAAUUAAAAGUUAAGAGUUGAAAAGAUUUGACCAAUGGGAUGCAAUCCAACAGACAAGAAUGUCAUAUAGAAAACCCAUUUUCCCUUUGGACUUUGAAUCAAGCAAUAAUCAAUGAGCAAUUAGCAGUACCCAAACAUUAUGAAGAUUAAGGCAUCAAAUAAAGAUAGCCACAUCCAAGCAAGCAAUCCCAAAAGCUAACAGUCUUCUUUGUCUUCUCACGUAUCAAAUGAAAUAUUCCUUGAUCAUCUCAAAGCAAAGCAUCAGACACAAGGUUAAAAUAACAAUUAGCACAAACACAAAGUAGUAGAUGAAUUCAAACAAGAUCCAAGGCUUGCAUCAUAUGAAGGCUUAGUUCACAAUAGCUCAUUCUCAAAAUGUUGGCAUUGGCCAAGUCCUUUUUGCACAUGGAAUGUUGACUAGUUCUAAGUCCAAGAGUUCAAAUCAAGAUCAACAGUCCACCAGAUGUUUUUUAGGGUUUUUGUUGUUAUUAAGUAUUUUAAGGUCCUAAGACCAUAAACGAAACCAAAAUGCACAAACAAUAUAUACAAUCACUAGAUAUGGCUCAAAUGAGCAAAGUGAAAAUGACAUAAACAUAAAUAAGUUAAAUGGAAUGUAAAUGGCAAUGAAUGAUAAAUGACUGAAAUUUAAAUUGCAUAAAGUAAAUGACUUGAAGGUAAAGCAAUAUUAACAAGGAUUAGUCAAAUUUUAGUCAAAGGUUAGUGGUGUUUUUUAUUAAUUAAGUCAUUCUUUGGAGAACACUCAACCAUUCUUUCACAAGUAUGAAUCCUAAAACUAAGACAUCUUCCAUGAGAAGGACUCCAACUUGGAUAAUUCAACAAGUAUGCCACUAGCUCUCAUGAAAGGAAAAAAUGUCAAGUCUCCACAGAAUACCAUGAAGAAUGGGAGAUUUACAAUCUCACUUACUAGAAUUCUAUGCCAUUAUGGUCAAAUUUAGCUAUAUGUUAAGCAAUCAUAAUUGGACUUAUGUAGAAGUCACAAUUAUCCGAGGUUGGGCAAUAAAAAUUUAGGUGUUAAUGCAUGCUAGAGAUUUGGUAUGAAGAACCAAACUUCUAAAACAUACCACACACUAAAAUAAAAGAUCAAGAGGGAGGGACCUAUCUCAGUCAUACUUGAAGGAGAAUUGUGGUCCAAAACGCAACGGAAAUUAAAAAUUUCUCCUUUAGAUAUCCUUAUGAAUGGUCAUGAUCAGUGAUAGAAUAUUUACCUCUUGUGACGGUUGAAACCUUUGGUGCAGAUCUCUUGUAAUGAUCAAAACCUUUGAUGCAGAUCCACAGCGCGAUCACGAACGUUGAACGAUGACAACGUCUCUACUCAGUCCACACGAACAGAUUCCUUCAAUCUCAGUGCUAGCUGGUAUGAGUGAAGGCUUUGAGUGAGAGAGAGAGAGAGAGAGAGAGAGAGAGAGAGAAAACGAAAAUAAUGCAACCGCAAUUAAUGCUUCUGCACAAGGGUUCUAUUUAUAGAACCACUUGUGUGGGCUUCAAGCUAAAAGGCCCGGUUUCAAUCAGUGUCUUCGAAAGGACCCAUAUGCAACUUUGACGUAUUUCUCAUGCAAACUGACGUAACGCCACUGGUCACCUAUCAGUUCUAACGAUUUACUCACUAAUCUCUCCUGACACGAAUGCAGAAGAAAUUAAGCUUACAGUUGCUCUUUGCCCUCACCCACCGGCCUAGAUAUACUAUCUUGUGUUCCUGGCUAUUCAUUAUGAAAUGAGACUCCACAAUGCGGUAGCCCCAAUUCUCUUCCAUAGGUGUGUCGUGCUUGUGAUUCUUGAAUUUCUCAAGCUCUACUUUCGCUCCACUGGUUCCUUUGAAUAAAAUCUUUUCUAGGAAAAGCUCCAGUUCGACGACAACCUUUUGCCAUACAGAAGGAUUGUAGAAGUAAUACCCUUCUUUUUCUUUAGGAUACUCCCACAAUGACUUUACUUGAAACAGAUACACAUGUUCAAUUGUUGCCCACGCUCAAUUAGGGAAACAUCCAAACUCUGAGGUAUGUAACACUUAUGUCAUUCUCCACCAUUAACUUCCGGAAUAACGGCUACUUUGAGCUCUAACCUAGUGCAACCCCACUCAUCUGACGAUCUAAUGCCAUCCACUCAAAUAAUUUCUUCUUCAUGUAAGACAUCACACAAUGGGGUAGAUGUUAGCUUCUUAUAACCAGCACCUCCGCAGGCUAGACUAUGCACAGCCAAUCGCUCAUAUGGUGUCCCUUAUCAACUUCUUCGGAUGGAACAUUAGGAUUUAGUGUAUGUAAGUUGCCUGUCAAUGGUGCAUGUCCCCUUCUAAGUAUGCAAACAUCAACACAAUUCAACAAAAGAGUUUGGAAGAUCGGCACUGUGCAACUACCAUUAAUUCUCAUGGAUCGUACCAUGUCUACAGGGUUUCCUGUUCUUCUCUCCCACCCAUGGGAAUUAGCAGAUACAUACACCAGCAUUCCCAUUGGGCCGUAGUGUGCCUACAAACCAAGGCGCAGAUGCGGGAGUUUAAGUUAGGAUACACCUAGAAUACGAAUCACACUCACACCCAAUCUUAAUCAGAUGGUCAUAACAACGUCCACGACAAGAACCUUGCUUAGGCUUAAAUACUCCAGACCCUCUAAAUCAAUACAUAGUUCACCUCCGUUCCAUAUCAUCAAUGCAAUAUAUCUACAUAUCACUGCAUCAUCAUACAUAUUAUCAUAUUAUACUCAGCAACAUUUCAUCCACAUAAGCUGUCAGAUUAUGCCCAAACGACCCUACAAUAUUAGUACAACAUGCUAAUUCACACAUCUUCGAUCUGAUGCGAGCUGCUUCAAAGAGUUUUUAAUCUUCUUACCAACACUCGUAGUUGGUUUGUACUUCAUGUCUGUCGGAGAGAAUUUUCAUCUUGAACUUUCAAAUGCCUCUCGCAUCUUAUUGUGCUUGUUUACCCACUUAAUAUAAGACAGCACCAUAGGAUCAGCAACCCAUGCCCCCUAACAUCCAUACCAGGUUCAGAAAAUCAACCUUAACUCACAUACCAAUUUUUCCGAGACUUGUCAUAUGGCUGAUGAAGUACUACAGAAAACGUGUUCAUCAACUCUGGCUCGGUAUGUUCAGCGUUUAACAUCGCGUCCCACAUACUCAUUAGUAUGUAUGCUGGGUAUGAGCCACAACCGAGGUAUAUCAUCUAGGCUCUUUCACACUUUUUUGUGUGAAUGGAGAUUUCGUCAUCAUUCCAAGUACUUUGGGCAGCGUAUUCGGCAUCCAAACAGGCAUUUUUCAGCAAAACGCAACAGUGUUCUACCCAGGUGUAGGUCCCUUACCUUCCGGCGCACACUGGAAGCGGUGCCUGCCUUUGUUUAUGCCUCCACCCUACUGGUUGGACCCUCCGUGUUAACAACCAGCAGCAAAGUGGGUCUGGGGUUUUGGCACGUCAUUCCUGUGCAGAACACUGCUCCAUAGUAUUUCCACAAGUUUCAAUACGUGUUCAACCUUUCAUCACGGGCUUAACACUCCACUGGGUUUAACCGGUUACGCAGACCACACAAUCCUCUGCGCUUGGUGGCCUUUUGUUCUGUCGGUCUUUCCAUUCCUGAUCAGCUCUAACACACCAGAGGCAGAUGGAUUUCCCAUUAUUUGUCGCAUGUAAUUGCCGCCCGUUGGACGGAGAUUCUUCCGCUGCUACCUCCGAUUAGCAGCUGACUUUCCGUAAAUAAGCUAUACGAUCGGGGAAACAUUACUAACCACAAUGUCUUAGCAAUUAGGAAGAGAUUUGUCCAUAUCAUUCAUAUUGAAAUUUAGGACAAAUUGACCUGAAUCCAUCUGGCAACGAUUGCAAGAUCAAAUCAGGUCGCAAGUUCCUUUCCGAGGAAACCCAUCUGUCAAGGUUUUUCCACAUACUCCAAUCAACAAUUACCCUUGAGGCCCGAUAUGGUGGAUAAUUUCAACUUCUAACUACAACCGGGGACUCAGCUUUCAUUCAGCUAACUUGCUUUGCACAAACAAACAGCAGUGUUGCUUCCAUCUAGUAUAAUACUCAUCAUCAACCAACAUUAGGGUCAAAUCUAACUCGGGCUUCUAUCACUAUCUGCCCUUGCCUGUCCAUUUGACAUAUUAUCAUAGAGCAACCAUUUAACUCAGGUGCUCCCGAUCAUAAUCCGGAACGAUAAACGCCCCCUUCUAAAUCCUAAAAAUUCGAACGCCUGGACAUUUGUCCAGAAUCUUUGAGCUUAAGUUCGUUCCUCAAACCUUUGCUCUUCAGAUCUCCUUUUCCUCUGUUUGCUCCCUUGCCUUUUUCAACUUGAUUGUUUGCUGUUUUUCUAGCGUAUGAAAUGUUUUCAAAAUGACAACCUUUUUGAGCCUUUUCAUUAUGGUCGCAAGCACAUAUAUAUAUCGCAUGUUUUCCACAGAAUCAAUAAUAUCCCAAAUAAUACAUAAUAGGUUACCUUAUUAUAUGGCAAAAUUCUAAUCAUUAUAUCUUAAUAAAUAAUUAAAUUAUUAAACGACAUGCUUCUUAUAAGCAUCCAAUCUCUUUUAAAAAUUACAAUUAGUUUACUUAUUAUCUUAGGGUGCAGGUGUUUGAUAACAACAGGACUCUCAGGUUUCCUCCUCUCCACUAAAGAGUUUUCGUGCCUCCAGGAACAGAAAACCAUACCGUCAGAGGCUGUCUGAACAACCCUGCUGGGUAAGAAUUCCUAUACAUGCUUACUAUCUACAGCUCUCAUUUAGUUUCCCAUGUUAAGUUCUACGAGAGACAAAUCCUCCGGUUUCGGUCCAAUCAGAAAAUUUGUUCCCAGUAUCGCCCAACCACUUUUUCUUUGUCAAGUGCUGGUGAUUGUAUCGCAAGAUGCCUUCUCGUUUAGAAGGUGUUUGCCUGUCAUGGUUUCUACAUAAGGAUUAAGUAAAUAUAAGUAUCGAUUGGCUAUACCUUCAAGCUAACCCUUUUCAGGACCUGUUAAAUAAUAUGCUCCCCCAAAAGGCAUUCUCCUUUACACUUUAAUUCAACAAAGACCUCAUCCGCAACUGCUUCAACUCUCGAUCCUCCAUCCUCAAUAGGUGAUGUUUCACAUUUGACAUGCAGUGCUUGGCUCACAUCAAUCCCCACGUUGGAGCUGAAAGUCAUAGAACUUUACUCGACUUAAUAAGUGUCGGGGACGAUCAUGAAUGUACGCAGAUCCCAUAUUUCCUUCGUUCUAAAGUCCGCGUAGGCGAUUACCAAAACUAGGUUUAUUUAGGUAGGACCCCUCCUCAAUUGUAACUCUCAUACAAACUCUCGAAUAUUCAGUUGGGUGAAUAACAUCCUUAUUCCAAUCCAUCAUAUGGAUUAAUUCCCAUCUUGCUUCUAACAUAUAUAUAAUCUUAUUAUAAUUUGUUUAGUUUAAGUUUGAACCCCCAUUUGUUUUUAACAGUUGGAUAUUACAAUCUAUCCCAUCGCACUUACUAAUGAUAUAGAUUCAUGCACCUCGCGUAGGCGAAACCUCCUACCAUAUCCCUAAUCCUAGUCCUGAGAAACCAUGGGAGACAUCAUGAGUAGUUUAAAGCAAAACUUUUCGCAAGAAAGGCCACUGAAAACUUCAGAUAUUGCGAGUAAAGUUUGAGCGAUACGGGGAAUAGGCUACAUUCGCAAUUCUCUGAGCUUACUCCUGAUCUCUCCACCGAAUGCUGAUGAAGGCACCAAUAAAUCGAGUGUCAACCAUUCUUGGACCUUCACGGGCGCCCCAAUACCAGUUAUCGGAGUAACACGAAAGAAACACAUGAUAUCCCUCUUGGAGACUCAAUGUGACUUCCUCCGCUUAUAAUGCUAACUCUUCUGACGACUUCCUGCGCAAUUCCAUCUUAUCCUGAAUUCUCUUAUACUUUUCUGUAGUUUGUUGAAACAUCUCCGGUCCAACCACAGCACUCUCACCGGAUCAAUCCAACAUUAAAGGUGGUCCGACAUCUCCUACCAUCAAGCUUCAACAACGGUGCUCAUCGGCACUUGUUUAUCAUAUACAAGUCCGUCUCUCACACCUAGACUAACUCUCACAAUUCGAAAUUAUUGAGUUGUACGGAUAGUUCCAACAUCCUCCAACAACUUCAACACAAUGGCAGGUCAAAUAACCCAAUCCAUCCAAGACCAUACCACUCCCUUAAUUGAAAUUUAUGCGCAUAAUCAUGACGCCCAGCAGCCCUAUCGCAAAAAGAGCUAUCUAAUCGUUCUCGUGACUGAAUCCGAGUACCAAUCCUCGAGAGAACCUAAGCUAACCUAUCAGUUCUGAAUACACAUGAUCUAAGCUUCUUCCCCCAGCCCAAAAUAUGGCGGCGCGAAGAAUAUUACUGCCUAUGAACAACAUCGCAGUUGUUCUCCCACACCUUAGUUCCAAAGUCUCCUGCAAACCUUCUUUAGUCAUUGACACUCUCUUGAAACUUCUCGAUGUAAAAUCUAUGAUAGACGGUAUAUCCUCUGUCCAGAAACAACUGACUACCCGCAGACGAUGUCAAUUUACCAAGGUAUUGUCCAACCUCCUCACGAAUCCCUUCCUCAUAUAUGAUCUUCACUUCCGCGCAAAUAUCUUCUUCUCUACUCUUUCCUUCAACCAGUAUUGGAUUAAUUGCCAAUUCUAAAUCCCAGUUCCAAGAAUGAAGAAAAAAUGAGUCCCGCGUACUUUUACAUACGAGGGUGCAAAUGCUUUGAGAUAAGCUAAACAUCACACGAAUAUUAAGCUCUUUACAUGUAAGAGAUCAAAAGGAGAGCGCAUGGCCUACACAAAUUGCUUACUUCCGUGCACUCCAUGCAGGUCGUAUUAGAAAAAAAAAAAAAAAAAGUAACGGAGAGACUAAGGCCAUAACUGAUCACGCACAGCAAACCAGAAAAACAAAAGUCCCAAUUAACUAUAAAAUAAAACCACAUUGUGUUGCCCAUCUAUUACAUUUUAAUCGUUCCUGCCACUCUGGAAUAAUUGACAAAAUUAAUUAAAAACAACAGAUUUUUGUCAUAUAGCAUUUCCAGGACGGCGAUUCUGAUGUUCACAGUGCUUCGACUUUCUGAAGCAACGUCAAACAAGGGAAUAACCUACAAAACUUGCAAUUUCCUGUCCAGUAUAUCAUUGCCCUUUAGCCGGGGGCACCGAAAAUAAUGCUUAUUCAAGCGACUCAUCGAACUACAUUCUUGCGUAGCUCCGACGGGGGGAUGAAUACUCAAACCUAUGGCAUGGGACGAUGUCCUGUCACUUGCGCCCCAAGAAUACUCUCUUCUUGGUACCUCAAUCAAACAUACUGAAUACAAUAUCUCUAAUGAACCAUAUUUCAUCGAUUGUAUAUAUAAACUGGACAUUGUUUUGCAUGAACACACCCUUGCGUAGUCAACAACAAAGAUCAACAGUGUCACCCAAAACCAAAAUUUUGACUCUGGGGGUGUGACGACCGUAUUCUUCCAUCAACCGAUCAGGCGUGUGAAUCGGCGGAUCUCGUAACACCAGGCGCCAUGCAGAAAGUGUGACCGUUCAGCGUCCUACAGGGACCACGUUACGGACCUGACGUUCACCUAAAAGUCACUUAUAACAAACGCCAAAAGCAUAUCAAGCAUUUUGACCCCACACUCUGAUUUCAUGGCUCCCAACAAAAAUACCACUUGUCAACAAAUUACCCACACUCUCCACUUUAGACACCUUAAGUUGAAUUGUUGGUACGUCUGAUCGACACCCGCUGCUUGACCGUACACUCAAGUCGUCCUUAAACUGGCUGACACAAGCAAAGCAUGUGACGACACCAUAACAGUCAAGCACGCCGUGGCACCUUCAAAUCCCAAUUCUCUAAACCGCCAUGUAACAUAGACAUAUGUAAUGACUUUCCGACUCAAUGCAUAGCUACUGACAUUUGCUUUACCCGAUGGUAAUUCAAACCGAACAAUCAUAAUCCCUCUCAGAAAUUCCUAACCACCUCCUCUGUCUCAUUCCAGCUCUUUCUGAUCAACAAAUACUUGAAACUUUUAUGGUCCUGAAAACUUCAAAUCUUGACCCAUACAAGUAAUGCCGAGCUCACUCCAAUGAACUUCAGAACAAAUACUACAGCUCCAGCAGCAAAAUACAACUUCAAACUUUGGAAAUUAACGCCAGUCGUGACAAAUAGUUCCUAGACCUCGUGUUCAUGAAACCCAGCAAAGCCUAUCAAUAAUCACACCUCUUCUUGACUCUCGAAGCAUGGCAAGGCACUAAACCUGCUUAAUCCUUUCUUGUGAGCGCUAGCAUCCAAUCUAUUAUGCGCUAAAACAGGUGUUUCAGAUCGGAUUGAGACUCCCUAUGGGUAUAUGCAUACAGCGCACAUCAAUUUAGACGCGUUCAAACACACUCUCGAUUAGUUGAUUUGGUCUUCAGUUGAUUCGGAAUCAAUCAGGGUAUUUGCUUCACCAUAUCUAAUGGUCUGUGUAUUGUUUUCUCGAAAGCAAAAUGACAUUUGUUUUGAUCCGCGUUGAUCAAAGGUUCAAGUGAAAACAUCGACAUCGGGCCAGCAAUUUAGUGUUUUUUUAGGGCGAACACCUUGUCUGGAAACAGCUAUGAAUGAAAACAGAAUCAUUAUAUUAGUUUGGGAUAAUCCACUAUAUAUCCUCCGAGAACUAAUUCUGGACAGCUAGUGGUUUCGCCCAUUAAAGAGGAGUAUGCAUAAAAAAGAAGUAAGAUUAACUUGAGAUUGCUAUCAUAAAUACUUAAUUGACCGCCUAAUACUCCCGACUGAUCUCAACUAUUGCUUUAACAAAUUGCGUAACCUACUUCUGGCGAAGUCUAGAGAUGUAUCCCAAGGCAGUCGCUAUACAUCACCACUACCAGCUGCUAAUGUCUUCGGUCAAUCCGAAGCAUAGUCAAACAUCAAUCAUCGCAACUAUAAUACACUCUUGAUGCCAAUCAUUAUUACCGUUUAUAUAAUUGAUCUUUCACGUUCGUCGUGUAAGUAUUCUGUUCAUUUUUAAGAGGGUCAUUUAUUUAUUAUGUGAAUAGCUUCAACCAUGCAUUGGGUUUCGGAAAAGUUUAAACCCUUGUACUUUCGCUAUCGCCUGGUUUCACGCUGAUGUCAUGUGGUUCUGCGGUUUAAGGGUGGUUGGGCAGAUUGUCGGUCUGUUUGCUGCUUUGGCGGGAUAUUCUCGUUGGGUCGCUACUUUGACGUUUCGUGAGCCAUGACAACCCGUGUUGAUCCGAAGAGUAUUUUGUUUUUUGAUGCUGAGUCUCAGUCAAUGAGGUCGCCAGACUGGUGGGUAGAUGUAAUAUGUGUUCUGCUUUUUGUAGAGAGUCCUUAGCGCAAUUGGGUCUAUGGAAUUCAGGUUGUAGUAGGAUUGUGGUGUGUUAGAGUUUUACUCUUGUGAACGGUGUGAAAGUUACGCUGUGGUGGCAGAUCGUCUUUUGUGGACGAUCGUUAAGUGUGAGCUUCUGUUUUGAUGUCAGUGUUUGAUUCCAGGUCGAUUGAGCGAUCAUCGAACCUGAUAGUUUUUAUAUUCGAUCGACUAUCUGCUUAGACCGUUAUGUUCUUCUGGUAGCGCCCUCGGGAGGGUGGCGCACGUCUUCACGUUUUAUGCUGGUAAUUACCUGGUGUUGAGUUCCUCUUCUAUAUGUUCUACGCCAAGUUGGGACUUGGCAAUGCGCAUUACGGUCCAGAAAGUGAAGGCUUUGAGUGCAGAGGAGGAGGGCAUCCGGCACAGGUUGAUGUGCAUGAGUAAAUCAGAGUGGGAGAAGAUGUGGCAGUCGGUAUUGCAACAAGUAUGAUUUGUGUUUCUGGUCGCUAUGGACCCCUCGGGCUGUGGAAAUCGAAUCUUCUGCAGAAAUCUUUGGAACCGCAUUAGGAGGUGUUACUAUUGUUGUCUUUUAAUGGCAUCGGACAGAGUAACCGAGCUCUCAUGGUUCCGUGGUCCCCGGCCUUUUAAGACUGGAUUAUCCGUCUCGGCAGGAGACUAAAAUUGGACAAGGCGCCCCACCUUGAAGUGUUAUUUGUAUUUAGGGUGCAACCUAUCUUAUAAUAUGGUGUGAAGAUUGCUGGCCAUCGCGAAAAUAUCACUUAAGCCCGUCGAGUCGUAAUUGUGGUUUAACCCUCUCUACAGAGAAUCCUAGAUUUUACACCAUGAUCUGAAGUUCUGGGAAGGUUGCAGGAGCUUUGGGAAUUCAGUUGAGGAUUGAGUUCUGCAUCUUACACCAAUAUCUCGCGUAUUCAACCUUAUGUGGGUAGCUGCCCCUAAGAGAGGUACACGUUCACAGUGUCAUCUAAGGGAAUCCUCUACGUUUUAUGAGUACGUUUGAUGUUUAACUCUAGUUGAAAAAGGGAGCGACUCGCUUGGGAUUGUAUCGCUCCUUUUUGAACAGAUGAUAGUUCCAAUCUAGUUACUUACCUCCACAAUAGUUUUCAAUCCCGAGUAUUCGGUCGGUCUAUCUCAAUACAAUACGGUUUGAGACUUUGUAUGUAGGAAGCUGUCGUUCUUGGUUGGGUUGCAUGGGUGAGCGUGUGGUGGUUGGCUGGAUUGUUCUAACACGUCCUUCAACUGGAUGUGUGCGACGUCACUACAGGACAUGAAGAUUAUCAGAUGAAAUGGGUUUUUCGGUUAGACGUAGUGGACAUUAAUAGUUGAUGUAAAUUAAUCACGCACGGCCGAGUCUCCACACGAAAAUUAGAGGAUAUAUUAUACAUUGAACAAUUAAAGCACGGAAGGUAGAAGAGGCGGUAUUCUUGAAGGUUCCAAGAGGGAGAUUCAGCAACUACAUGACUCGCUCAAACCUGUUUCUUUUUUCCGUGUUACAUCGACACGAAAGACGAUCGAUCGGAUCUGAACAUUAACCUCUUCUUCUUGCUUGAUGGGUUUACAUACUUAUGUGUAUAAUUACGGCGGUGCCGUCUUUUGUAUCGCCCGUUUAGUUGCGAGUCUUAUUCCAGAGCUUCUGGCGGACAAGCUGGCGGUAAGGUCAGCCUCUCCGUGUUCGCUUUGACCCAGCUCCAUGUCGCUUGUCGGACUACUUUGCCAUGAUGCUGUUCCAUGCGUACUGCAUCUGAAGUGAUAAGGUAGAUUCAUGAAUCCGUCGCAGUCUAAUUAGAAAGUUAGACAUUUGAUUGAGUCUAACAGCGUGAGAGAUCGACCCUGACUGUUGAAACCACUCACCUAUGAGGAAUGAGCGAUCGAACCGGUCUGUAAGUACUAGGUUUGCGGGGCAUGGGAAUCGAGGGCAAGAUUCCUAUGGUCUCUAUGUGGGUUGCAACGGUGCUUCGAGGAUGUGCCCAUCCAGCCAGGUGGCGAGAUGCAAUGUGACUCUUGGGUUCGAUCUGGAUAGUACUGGAGAACGUAACAGUCAUGAAGCUGAGUAAUUACUUAUGCGUNGGAGUACCCAUCAACUGUCUUUAUGGUUAUCCAGUUACGGACAACGUUGGAUCAGCAAUAAAGCACUCGACUCUACAUCUAGGGUCCAUAGUGGUUUCAGGUCGAAGAGUGGUAUACACCAUUAUCACCAUGAGAAUAACUUAUGACACUUCACAUAACUUUCUAUAUAGUAUUCUCAUAGCGGGUCAAUCUGGUAUAAAUAUUACUCCUAAUAUUUAUACAUAUGUUUAAGACUUGAUAAUUCUUUAUCCAUGAUCCAUGAGAUGUGAUCAUCAGUCUACAAACAUAAUAGUCUUAAUGCUUUAGUGUUAUCCCACUUCACACUAAAGCUCGACUACUGAUACUUUAAGAAUAGUGUCCUUAUGUUUAAUGUGUUCUCAUGAUUAAGUCACACUUAAUACAUUAAACGGACUAUCUAUUCUAGGGACUUUAUUAAUCAACCAUAAUAAAGAAAAAGCCUUUUAUUAAUUCGAUACAAGUACCAAAAAGUAUUGGCCUCUAGGGCUUACACCAACAAUACUUGUAUUGGUUCAUCUGACACAAGGUCAAUAAUGAACCAAUUAGCCUUAUGACAUUAGAGAUUUCAUUGGUCUAAUAAGGGAAUGGGAAAGAAUAGGGAUGAAGAUGAAGAGUGUAACACCCUUCUAAAAAUACCCCAAAAAAAUUUAACUAAAAUAAUAAACAUAUAUCAAUCAGAGUAAUUAUACCCUUCAAGGGUGUCACACAAUCACUUCACACCAUUCACCAUAAUACUGUCAUGCUCUUUUAUUAAUUCAAAAAUAAACAUUUGCACAAUACGCAGCGGAUAGAAAUCAACAACAUGCAAACAUGUAACACAUUACAGUAAAUAUUCAACAACCAACAAUGAAAAAAGUAAAACAUCCCUCCCGAUGUUACAUCUACAGAGCAAGACCCACUAAGGAACUACACUAGACUCCAAGGACUAGCUCUACUCAAUCACUGCUCGUUACCUGAAAAAUAGUUGUAAGGUGAGUUCCUCAAUCAUAUAAUAAGCAUUAUAAAAAUAUCAUGUAAUGCUAAGUAAUUAACACAUUAUCAUCACCCUAAUCAGAUCACACAUUCAGCAACGCAAAUCAAUCAAUCAUCAUCAUCAUCAUACUCAACUCAACACAACAAAACACACGUAUAAUAUUGGAAUACAUCCAUUCAUAUUAUACGCCAUACAUAUACAUUAUGCAAUGAGACUCCAUGCAUGCGGUACCGACUAUUCGUGAACAUAUAGUUCAACCUCACCAUCAAACCAGAUACGGCUACCAAGCCCACUAGUCCCACUCAUUUGAGACCUAGUGACUCACUCACUAAUUCCUCACCAUGGGAAUUAGCUACCACCCCAAGGGCUAUGUAUGCACGCUAAUCACUAGCAUGCAAACAUCAACAACAUCCACAAUGAUUCACUCACUAAUUCCUCACCAUGGGAAUUAGCUACCACCAUAAAGGCCACAAUAUGCAAGCUAAAUCACUAGCAUGCAAACAUCAACAACAUCCACAAUGGACAUAUGCUCACACUCUAAGCCAUAAACAGUCCAUUCAAAUUCAUACAUAUAGAUACAUUCACACAUUAUCAUAUCAUACAUCAUCACUACAUCAUCAUAUUACACAUAAUCAUAUCAUGUCAUCCAAUAAUCAAUCACAGUAUUAGACACACUCUACUAAUACCUAUACUACUCAAACAACGGGAAAUGAUCCCUACUUAUCAUACAUCAGCUAAAUUACAUACUCAGCUGAAACAACCAAAACUGCACACAACAGCACAGAAAAAUCACAAUCUGCCCAUACGCGUAUGCCUAGUCCCAUACGCGUAUGGCCCAUUCUCACCAAUCCCAUACGCGUACCCUAUCUCCAUACGCGUAUGCUACGCGUACCACUUCCCCAUACGCGUACCAACAGAGACCAAACCACGUUCAAAACAUCAUCUUCCUCAUCCAUACGCGUAUUGCCUAGUGCCAUACGCGUACCAGCCAUCUCAUACGCGUAUUGCCUAGUGCCAUACGCGUAUGACCAGAAACCAGAUUUCCAGAUCUGCUAUGGUUUUCUCUGCUACGAGAUUCUCCAAUUCAACCUUCCACAGUCCAAUUUUACCAUAAUCGUUCAUAUCAUUAUCAACACAUUAUCCCUAUUCGAUUUCACAAAUUCUAACAUUUUACAUCUAAUUCCUACGAAUUCCUUCAAUUAUAAUCCAAUUUCGUUCAUCCAAUAUUCACAAUUUUCAGCAUACAUCAUUCAAUCAGAGUCAAAUCAUGGUUAUCACUACCCAUACAUGUUAUCCCAUAAUACCCAUUAAACGACGAUAAACCCCCUUACCUGAGUUAAUCCGGCAAAUCCUAGCUUCAAGCUCUUUCCUCUCUUCAACCCUUGUUCUCUGCUCUCUUUGCCCUUUUCCACUUUUCUGUCCCUUUUUCCUUUUCACGUGAAAAAACCCUUUUUACCAAAUGGACCUUUUCUAAUUCCAACUUUUAUUCCAAUAAAAUAAUAAUCCAAUAAUUUUCUAAUUAUUUAAUUAAAUUAAUAAAUAAAAUAUUAACUUAAUUUAAACAAUUAUCUUAAUUUCAUCGGGGUGCUACAACUCUCCCCCACUAAAAGAGUUUUCGUCCUCGAAAACAUACCUCAAGCGAAUAACUCGGGAUAAGACUCCUUCAUCUGACUCUCCAGUUCCCAAGUCACAUUGCCACCUGGUGGUCCUCCCCAAGCUACCUUAACCAAAGCAAUUUCUUUACCCCGCAACUGCUUCAACUCUCGAUCCUCGAUCCUCAUAGGUGAUGUUUCAACAGUCAAGUUAUCUCUCACCUGUACAUCAUCUACUUGGACUACAUGCGACGGAUCAUGAAUGUACCUCCGCAACUGAGACACAUGAAAAACCUCAUGCAAAUUCGCAAGCGACGGCGGUAAGGCGAUACGAUAGGCUACCCCUCCUAUCCUCUCCAAAAUCUGAUAAGGGCCAAUAAAUCGAGGUGUUAACUUCUUCGACUUCAAAGCUCGACCAACCCCAGUUGUCGGAGUAACACGAAGAAACACAUGAUCUCCCUCUUGGAACUCAAGUGACUUCCUCCUCUUGUCAUGAUAACUCUUCUGACGACUCUGAGCAAUUCUCAUCUUCUCCUGAAUCAUCUUAAUCUUUCCGUAGUUUUGUUGAGAACAAUGUCCGGUCCACCACAGCACUCUUCUCACCGGACUCAUACCAACAUAAAGGUGUCCGACAUCUCCUACCAUACAAAGCUUCAAACGGUGCCAUACCAAUGCUCGAAUGAAAACUAUUGUUGUAGGUAAACUCAACCAAAGGUAAAUAACCAUCCCAAGCACCUCCUUUUUCCAAAACACAAGCUCUCAAAUGAUCCUCAAGUGACUGAAUCGUCCUCUCAGUCUGACCAUCAGUCUGCGGAUGAUAUGCAGAACUCAAUCUCAGCUUAGUUCCCAAAGCCUUCUGCAAACCUUCCCAGAAUUUUGAUGUAAAUCUAGGAUCUCUGUCCGAAACAAUGCUAGACGGAAUACCGUGCAAACUUACAAUCUUCUCAAUAUACAACUCGGCUAAUCUCUCUAACGGAUAAUCCAUUCGGAUUGGAAUGAAAUGAGCCGACUUCGUCAAUCUGUCAACAAUCACCCAAAUAGCUUCAAAAUUCUUACUCGUCCUCGGUAAACCAGAAACAAAAUCCAUUGACUAUGACAGGGUGAAGGUGAGACCUUAUCGGUUGCCAACGAUUAGCCCAGACGACUUCUGAUGCUCAAUCUUUGACUUCUGACAAGUCAAACAAGAAUAAACAAAACUUGCAAUUUCCUUUUUCAUUCCCGGCCACCAAAAUAACUUUCUCAAAUCACGAUACAUCUUCGUAGCUCCAGGAUGAAUACUCAGACCACUACGAUGUCCUUCUUCAAGAAUACUCUUCUUAAGCUCGGUAACAUCCGGAAUACACACCCGAUUACCAAAUUUCAAAACACUAUUCUCAUCAACUCUGAAUUCACCACUUUGACCUUGAUUCACUAAAGUCAAUUUAUCAACCAAAAGCACAUCGGAUUUCUGACCUUCUCUAAUCUCAUCCAGAAUACUACUCGUUAACUUCAACAUUCCCAAUUUAACACUAUGGUGAGUACUCUCACACACCAUUGAGUUCAGAGAUUUGACGAGUUAAUUUAGGUUAAGGAAUUGGUAAUACAUAGACAUAUGCAAUGAUUUCCGACUCAAUGCAUCAGCCACUACGUUUGCUUUACCCGGAUGAUAAUUCAAACCAAAAUCAUAAUCUUUCAGAAAUUCUAACCAUCUCCUCUGUCUCAUAUUCCGCUCUUUCUGAUCAAACAAAUACUUUAAACUCUUAUGGUCACUGAAAACCUCAAAUCUUGACCCGUACAAGUAAUGCCUCCAUAAUUUCAGAACAAAUACCACAGCUGCCAACUCUAAAUCAUGCGUCGGGUAGUUCCUCUCAUGAACCCUUAGUUGUCUCGAAGCAUAUGCUACAACCUGCUUAUUCUGCAUCAACACACCACCCAAACCCAACAACGAAGCAUCACAGUAAACCUCAAAUGAUUCGGACGGACUCGGUAAUAUCAGAACAGGAGCAGUAGUUAACCUUCUCUUUAACUCUUGGAAACCUUCUUCACAUUUUGGGUCCCAAACAAACGCUUGCCCCUUUCUAGUCAACAUCGUCAACGGUAACGCCAACUUAGAAAAUCCCUCAAUGAUCACCAAAUAACUUGUCAUGCUCAUUUAUUAAUCAAAAUAAAACAUUGCACAAUUCGCAGCGGAUAGAAAUCUAACAACAUCAACCAUGUAACACUUACAUGUAAAAUUGUUCAACAACAACAUGAAAAACAAGUAAAACAUCCCGUCCCGAUGUUACAUUACCAGAGCAUGACCACUAAGGAACUACACUAGACUCCAAGCACUAGCUUCUACUCAAUCACUGCUCUCGUUACCUGAAAAUAGUUGUAAGGGUGAGUUCCUCAAUCGAUAUAAUAAGCAUUAAUAAAUAUCAUGUAUGUUAAGUAAUUAACACAUUCAUCACCCUAAUCAUAUCACACAUUCAGCAAACGGCACAUAUCAACUCAUAAUCAUACUCAACACAAACACAAAACACACGUAUAUAUUGGAAUACAUCCAUUCAUAUUAUACGCCAUACAUACAUUAUGAAUGAGACUCCAUGCAUGCGGUACCGACUAUUCGUGAACAAUAGUUCAACCUCACCGAUCAAACCCAGAUACGGCUACCAAGCUCACUAGUCCCACUCAUUUGAGACCUAGUGACUCACUCACUAAUUCCUCACCAUGGGAAUUAGCUACCACCAUAAAGGCCAUGCUAUGCACGCUAAAUCACCUAGCAUGCAAACAUCAACAACAAUCCACAAUGGACAUAUGCUCACACUCUAAGCCAUAAAACGUCCAUCCACAAUUGCAUACAUAAUAGAUAAUUCACAGCAUUAUGCAUACCAUCAUACAUCAUCAGCAUAUUAUCACAAAAUCAUAUCAUGUCAUGCAAAUAAUAAAUCACAGUAUUACACACUCUACUAAUACUUAUACUCUCAAAACAACGGGAAAUGAUCCCUACUAUAUCAUACAUCAGCUAAAUUACUCACUCACUGAAACACAAAACUGCACAACAACAGUAAGAAAAUCAAAUUCUGCCAUACCGUACCUAGCCUACGCGUAUGCCAUUCCAUACCAAGCCCAUACGCGUAUGGCCUGUCUCAUACGCGUAUGCUACGCGUACACUUCUCAUACGCGUACCAACAGAGACAACUACGUUAAACAUCAUCUCUUUCAUCAUACGCGUAUGGCCUCAUCCCAUACGGUACCACUCACGCUAUACGCGUAUCACGCGUAUGGCGUAUCAGCACGCAUCUCCCCUCUCCAGCCAUCUCAUACGCGUAUGGCCUAGUGCAUACGCGUAUGAAAGAAACCAAAUUCCAGAUCUGCUAUGGUUUUCUCUGCUACGAGAUUUCUCAGAUCCAACCUCCCACAGUCCAAUUUUUACAACAGCAUUCGUUCAUAUAUCUAACACAGAUCAUACCAUUCAUUUCACAAUUUUAACCUUAUUAAUCUAAUUCCUACGAAUUUCUUCAAUUAUAACUCAUAUCUCAUUCAUCCAUAAUUUCACAAUUUCACAUUCACAUCCUAUUAGAGUCAAUUCAAUGGCUUAUACUCCCAUUACAUGUUAACCCAUAUACCCAUUAAACGACGAUAAACCCCCCUUACCUGAGUUAAUCCGGCAAUUAUCUCUUUACCUUCAACUCUCUCUCCUCUGCCCUGCCUCUUUUCUCCCUUUCUCAGUUCUUCUCUGUUUUCACGUGAAAACCUUUUUUACCAAAUGGGACUCUUUACUAUUCCAACUUUAUUUAUUCCAAUAAUAAUAAUCCAAUAAUAUUCCAAUUUUUAAUUAAAUUAAUAAAUAUACUAAUAAUAAUAUAUAUGAAGUUUAUCUUUUAUUUUGAAAAAUAAUACCCUCUCAUUCAUAUUAUCAUCAUAAUAUACUAUUAAACUUAAAUAAUAAUUAUCAUAUUUUCCCACGGUGACACACUCGGACGAAUAAACUUCUUAUCCAACAGAUCUUCCAACUGACUCUUCAAUUCAGUUAACUCAACAGCAGACAUACGGUACGGAGCCAUCGAUAUCGGUCUAGUACCAGAUACCAAAUCAAUCGAGAACUCAACUUCACGCUCUGGUGGUAAUUCAUUCACUUCUUCAGGAAAUACAUCAGGAAAAUCACACACCACGGCUAGAUCGCCAAUCACCAGUUUAUCUCUAGCUUCCAAAGUUGCUAACAGCAUAAACAACUCUGCCCCAUCUACUACCGCCUCAUUCACCUGCCUUGCUGAUAGAAACAAAUUCUUUCCUUCCUCAAUCUCAGAAAAGAUCACAGUCUUAUCAAAACAGUUGAUAUAAACUCGGUUAAACACCAACCAGUUCAUACCCAAGAUAACAUCAAUCUGCACUAACGGAAGACACACAAGGUCUAUACCAAAGUCUCUACCAAAAAUACUCAAAGGACAAUUCAAACAAACUGAAGUAGUAGUCACUGAACCCUUCGCAGGAGUAUCAAUCACCAUACGACCAUGCAUCUCAGAUAUCUCUAACUUAAGUUUCACAGCACAAUCCAAAGAUAUAAAAGAAUGAGUAGCACCGGUGUCAAUAAUAGCUACAAGAGGAAAGCCAUUUAUAUAACACGUACCUCUGAUCAAACGAUCAUCUGCAGAAGUCUCAGAACCCGCUAGAGCAAAAACCUUGCCUCCCGACUGAUUCUCCUUCUUCGGUUUAGGGCACUGUGGGCUGAUAUGACCCACCUCUCCACAGUUGAAGCAAGUCACAGUCUUCAACCGGCAAUCUGCAGCCAAGUGACCACCUUUUCCACACUUGAAACACUUCUUCUCAGCACUAGUACAUUCGUGGAAACGAUGUCCAGCCUGACCACAUCUGUAACACUUAGCAGGAGCACUAGAAUCUCCCCCACUAGGCUUCUUUAUCCCACUCUGUCUCUGGAAACCUUUGCCAGCUGCAUACGGUUUCCCACGAUCAAUUUGAUUCUUGCCUUUCCUAUCAACCCUUUGCUGAUAGCUCUCUGCUCUAGCCUUGGAAUCCUGUUCAAAAAUCCUGCAACAGUCAACCAAAUCAGAAAACACCCUGAUUCGCUGAUAUCCAAUCGCCUGCUUGAUCUCGGGAAUAGCCUUGGAAUCCUGUUCAAAAAUCCUGCAACAGUCAACCAAAUCAGAAAACACCCUGAUUCGCUGAUAUCCAAUCGCCUGCUUGAUCUCGGGACGCAACCCGUUCUCAAACUUCACACAUUUGGAGAAUUCCCCAGUAGCCUCACUAUAGGGAGUAUAAUACUUUGACAGCUCUGUGAACUUAGCAGCAUACUCAGUAACCGACCGGUUACCCUGCUUCAAUUCCAAGAACUCUAUCUCUUUCUUUCCUCUGACAUCCUCUGGAAAGUACUUCCUCAGAAAUCUCUCUCUGAACACUGCCCAAGUAAUCUCAGCAUUCCCUGCAGUUUCCAACUCAGUGCGGGUAGCAACCCACCAAUCAUCAGCUUCUUCUGACAGCAUAUGCGUACCGAACCUGACCUUCUGGUUAUCGGCACACUCGGUCACUCUGAAGAUUCUCUCGAUCUCCUUCAACCACUUCUGAGCACCAUCUGGAUCGUAUGCUCCCUUGAACAUUGGAGGAUUAUUCUUCUGGAACUCACUCAGUUGACGAGCAGCUCCCAUUCCUACAACAUUCGGAUUUCCUCCAAGUACUCCAGCCAGCAUACCCAGAGCCUCAGCAAUCGCAGCAUCGUCUCUACCUCUUCCAGACAUCUCAAUCUGAAAGUCCAACAAGCUAAACAAUAAGUACUGAUAGGGUUACACAACACCUAUCCCGUACAGGGAAACGGAAUAAUUACGACUCGACUCGACCGACUAUGCUCUGAUACCACUAAUGUAACACCCUUCUAAAAAUACCCCAAAAAAAUUUAACUAAAAUAAUAAACAUAUAUCAAUCAGAGUAAUUAUACCCUUCAAGGGUGUCACACAAUCACUUCACACCAAUCAUCAAAUAUCCUGUCAUGCUCAUUUAUUUAAUCAAUAAAAAUUUGCAUAAUUCGCAGGGAUACAAAAAUAACAACAUCCAAAUCAUGUAACACAUUACAUGUAAAUGUUCAACAACCAAAGAAAACAUAGUAAACAAUCCCUCCCGAUGUUACAUCUACCAGAGCAUGACCCACUAAGGACUACACUAGACCCAAGACUAGCUUCUAUCAAUCACUGCUCGUUACCUGAAAAAUAUUGUAAGGGUGAGUUCCUCAAUCGAUAUAAUAGCAUUUAAAUAUCAUGUAAUGUAAGUAAUAUAACACAUCAUCACCUAAUCAAAUACACAUAUCCAACGCAAUAUCAACUAAUAAUCAUCACAUCAUCAUACUCAAAUCAAACAACCAAAAAACACACGUAUAAUAUUGGAAUCAUCCAUUCAUAUUAUACGCCAUACAUACAUAUAUAUGCAAUGAGACUCCAUGCAUGCGGUACCGACUAUCGUGAACAUAUAGUUCAACCUCACCGAUCAAAUCCAGUACGGCUACCAAGCUCACUAGUCCCAUCUCAUUUGAGACCUAGUGACUCACUCACUAAUUCCUCACCAUGGGAAUUAGCUACCACCCCAAGGGCUAUGCUAUGCACGCUAAUCACCUAGCAUGCAAACAUCACACAUCACAAAACUCAUCACUAAUUCCUCACCAUGGGAAUUAGCUACCACCAUAAAGGCCACAAAUGCAUGCUAUCACCUAGCAAUGCACAACUCAACAACAAUUCAAGAAUAGAAUAUGCUCACACUCUAAGCCAUAAAACAGUCUAUUCACAAUGCACACAUAACUGAUACAUUCACAGCAUCAUGCAUACAUCACACAUCAUCAUAUUUUAUCAAAUAAGCUUAUCAUAUCAUGCAAAUACACCAGUAUUAGCACACUCUACUAAUACCUAUACUACUCAACAAGGAAAUGAUCCCUAAUAUAUCAUACAUCACUAAUUACUUACUCAGCUGAACAAAAAACUGCACAACAACAGCUCAGAAAAUCACAAUCCUGCCCAUACGCGUAUUGCCUACCCCAUACGCGUAUGCCCAUUCCUCAGCCAAUCCAUACGCGUAACCAUCCAUACGCGUAUGCUACGCGUACCACUUCCCAUACGCGUACCAACAGAGACAACUCGUUCAAAACAUCAUCUUCCUCAUCCAUACGCGUAUUGCCUAGUGCCAUACGCGUACCAGCCAUCUCAUACGCGUAUUGCCUAGUGCCAUACGCGUAUGACCAGAAACCAGAUUUCCAGAUCUGCAAUGGCUUUCUCUGCUACGAGAUCUAUCCAUUCAACUUCCACGUCCAAUUUUACACAAAAUCGUUCAUAUCAUCUAACACGAAUCAUACCUAUUCGAUUUCACAAUUCUAACACUUUUACAUCUAAUUCUACGAAUUCCUUCAAUAUAAUCCAAUUUUCAUUCAUCCAUUUCACAAUUUCAUCAUCAUCAUUCAAUCAGGGACAAUCAAUGUUAUCACUACCCAUACAUUUAUCCCAUAAUACCCAUUAACGAGAUAAACCCCCCUUACCUGAGUUAAUCCGGCAAUCUCUGAGCUUCAAGCUUUCCUCUCUCAACCUUGUUCUCUGGCUCUCUUUGCCCUUUUCCACUUUCUGUCUCUUUUUCCUUUUCACGUGAAAAUAACCUUUUUACUAAAUGGGACCUUUUUCUAACUUCCAACUUUUAUUCCAAUAAAAUAAUAAAAAAAUAUGACCCCAAUAAUAAUAUUAAUAAUCCAAUAAUUUUCUAAUUAUUUAAUUAAAUUAAUAAAUAAAAUAUUAACUUAAUUUAAACAAUUAUCUUAAUUUCAUCGGGGUGUUACAAAGAGGGUGAGACAUAUCUCAAUAAUACUUAUAUUGGUUCAUCUGACACAAGGUUAUUGAUGAACCAAUUAGCCUUAAGACAUUAGAGAUUUGAUUGGUCAAAUAAGGGAAUAGGAAAGAAUAUGGAUGAAGAUGAAGAGAGAGGGGAAGAUAGAAACACAAAUUGACCAAGGUAGGAUUUUAUCAAAUCAAAACCAGUCAUUCAUUUUGGGAUAUGAAAUGUACAUUUCAUCAAUCCCCAAAAUCCAAUGGUUUUGAUGCAACAAAAGUCAAAUCAACCUUGAUCAAGGCCCAAACAGAAAGUCAAACAUCACAAGUCCAUAAAAAUGGCUCAACAUAAUUUUUAAACAAUUAAUCAAUUAAAAAUCACAUUAAAAAUGAAUAAAAAUGCAUUUUAAUUUGGUCAAAACCUAAAAUCCCUUCAAAACACCAAAUAAAUAGUCAAGGGGUUUAUCCUAAGUCAAACAAGGUCAAAUGACCUUAGACAAAAAAAUCACUAUUUUUUGAAAGUCAGAAGUAUUUUUAAACAAUUAAAAAUAUGUACAAAAACAUUUAAUUCAUGAAAAAUAUCAAAAUUAAUCCAAAAAAUAAUUUUAAUUUAGAAUAUGUAAGAGAAAAAUAUUUAAAGAUUUUUGGUGAAAGUCCCACAUUUUUUGGAUUAAAAAUGAAAUUGAUAUGAAUUAAACAAAAUAAAAGGAUUAAAUGAAAAUUCCGAAAAUAAAAAUAAAUUAGAAAAAAUAAGGGCCAUCAGAUUUCCCUUAUUAAUUGAGGUGACAGAUCUGAUGUCUACACGUGCGUUUUCCAUGGUAGUCUUCAGUCAAUGCAAUGAACGCGUGGUAUUCAAAAGCAAUGGCUCAGAUUAUAACAUCCAAACAUGAUCAGAUGGCCAGGAAGUGUGCCAACACACCACCGGAGCUAGGGCUCCGGUCAUCUUUUCCAGUGACCUCCACUGGACUAGUCCAACUUCAUCUCAAUGGAAAAUGAAAAACAAGGACACUAUUUCAAAGAGAAAAUGCUCAGAAUCUCGAAUCUGGCCUCAAUUUUCUCCAAUUCCAAGUAUAUAAAAAGAUACAAGGAUUUGAAUUUUGAGGAUCAUUAACUGAGUUGAUUAGAUUUAACCUCAAAGCAACUCAAUCUUGUUGCCUACAUUGGUAGGACUUCAGCCAACCAAAAAUCAAAGAGAAUGGUGAAGAAUUGAGAGAGAAUCGAAGAGAUGAAGUUUCUGAAAACUCACCUUCGAGGGAGCUUGAAUGUUGCUUGAUCUUGCUUCCAAUUGGUCUUGGCUUGACUUCAGAAGCUUGCAGAAGUUGAAUUGGAUCAAGGAAAGGCUUGGAUUCUUGGAGUUUCAACUUCAAAAUUGAAGUGAAAUUGAAACUCGAUUUUCAAUUGAAAACCUUAAAGUUUAUCCUCUAAUGUGAGGGUUAGGAUUGCAGGUUCAAAGCUUGGGCAAGGUGUCCAUAAUUUUGAGCAUGAAGGGUCUUAUUUAUAGGCAAUGCAAUUGGUUUUCACACCCUUCCAUCAAACUGCCAAAAAUAGAAAACUCCACUUGCAUGGUUGCAUGGGCGUGUGAUAGGCUCAUGAAAUGAUGUAAUCAGGUCUAAAUUUCAUCAUGUGCAAUGCUGAAAGUGUGUAAUGUGAUCAUGCAAUGGAAAUUGGAAAUUGAACAUGAGAUUCAUCCAAAUGGAGCCUUGAAGAGAAACCAUACGCAAAUUAUCUAAUUCUUGGCCAAAUGAGAUGAUCUUGGACUUUUUGGAAAGGUAAGAUCAAUGGGAACAACUUUCAUAUUUAACACUUUUCCAUUUUAAGCUUGGAUUAUGAUGAAUUUUGAGGUGGAAGUUUGGAAAAUCAAACAUAAAUGAAAAUUUUCUAAGUACCAAGCCAAAUGUUCACUUCUUCCACCUUGAAUAACUUUUUCUAUGGGAUUCAAAUGGAAAAAGUUACUUCAUAAAAGUUGUAUAUAUUUAAAACCUAUUCAAUUUGGUAACAAAUUUGACCUCAUUUGGAUUUGGCAUGAAGGAUUUGUGCAUUUUAGAAGUUGAGGAAAAUCACUUGUUCAAUGGUAAUGGCCCAAAGUGACCUAUAAUGUUUCCUCUUGGCACAUGCCCUUGCAAGUUGAAUUUUAAUUUAUUACAAAAAUAAAAGUUUUAUAGGACAUAUUUAAUUUGAUCAUUAAACUUGAAUUGACUUUAUGUCAUAAAAAUUGAGCAAGUUAUGGUCCUUGGAAGUUGACCUCCUAACUAUGGUUCAGACAAAAUGACCUAUAAUCUUUCACCAUAAAAAUGACUUUCCAAGAAAAACUAGAUAUUGACUUAAACAUGAAAGUUAUUUGGAAUGUCAUAAGGAGUAACUUUAAUCUUGGAAAUAAUUUUCAUAUGACAAAAAUUGUAGGAGAUAGGGUCUAGUGAACCCCAGUUUUGACUAGUUGACUUUCUCUGGUCAACCACCAUGAACCAACUUGCAAACUUGAAAUUACAUUGAUCUUUUGGACUCAUGUAGGAUAAUAUAUGUAUAAUAUGAUGUAAUAUGAAGUAUCACUUGAAAUAUUUGAUCACAUGAUGAAGAAACUUGUUGAGGAAGUCAUACAAGAUCCCUAGAUGAAUUAGGGCUUCCAAGACAAACAAACUUCAAACUCUUGAUGAAUUCUUGAUCAAAAUAAUAAUUGGAGAUCAUGGGGAUCCAUAUAUUAUGUAUAGAGUCAAUGUAAAUCAUCUCUUGAUUAUUCUCCUUGCAUCGAGGGUCUCAAACCCUAGAUAGGAGCUUGAUGGAACAUAAGUGAGCACACACACUACCUACAAAAGAAGUGGACUAUACGUUGACAUGUUUUUGGUAUUUUGGUUAGUAAAUAAUGAAAAACAAAUUAUGAUAAAAUCAAAUGUGCUUGGUGAUUUCUCCUAAUGAAAACCCAAUGAAUGAGAGACAAGGAGGAUGCCAAGGUGUGAUCCCAAAGCCAAUGCAUAUGAUGAGAUAUCACGAGGGAUCUUAGGGUCAAAAUUGAGGUCUUAAACUCCCUGCAAGAGGAAUGACGUACCUCAAAAGGCCACUGAUGAUAUAUGCCAUCCUUAAGCUGCCUUUGAUAAGGCUUCUAUCUAGACCCUUAUGAAACCAAAAUGGAGAAAGAGGCAACCUGAGGCGAGGUAGGAGUCGAUAGGGGCUGAAACCAACUUUAGAAUAGACCAAGUGUUAUGAAGGGUGUUACUGCAAAUGCAGAAGGAUCAGAGAGACUUUUAUAAAUUUUCAAAAGGUAAUUUUGAGUGAUAAAAAAGAAGUUGAAUGAGUGGAACUAUAAUGAUGAGGUUACGCCAAUUUUCCCAGACCAUAUUUAGGGGGAACUUGAAGAAUAGGACGACCAAGAGCAGAAAGUGGAGGAAGAAAGUGAAAAGGAAAAAGGGAAGAAGUAGAAAAAGGCUAUGUCCUCUGGUGCACCAGAAGCGUCUAACUCCGACGUUCAUAAGGAGGAAAGUGCUGAGAAGCCAAGGAAGAAGGAAAGAAAGGACAAAAAAACCAAAAAAAGGAAGACUAAUGGCGUACCUGAGAAAGACACUACUAAAAAUAUUGAGGAAGAAGAUAAAAGUGAUGUUGAAGAAAGCUCUAAGGAGGAUAAGAGGACUUUAAAGGAAUUGUUGACACAAGCUGUGAAGGAUAAAAAUAAGUUGUUGGCUUAUGCAUCUGUAAGGGUGCAAAAUAAAAGGAAUAUUAAAGAAGAAGAAGUCAAUAAUGAUGAAGAGCAAGAGGAUGAAAUAAAGGAGGUUGAUAAUGAAUUGGAUGGGAAGAAGGAGGAUGGAAACAUUAUUAAAGAGGAAUAGGAAGUUGUUGAGGAAAAGAAGGACGCAACUAAAGACUCACAAAUCCGAGUCUAAAGAAGAGUCUAAGGAGGAUAUGAGUAUUGAUGUGAUGCCUGUUAGCACUCCAGAAAAAGUGAAGAAGCCUGUGAAGGUCAACACUUAUGCCCCCAACAAAGGUUACACAAUAGAAGAAAUACCCCGCCACAACCAAGCUUAUAGUCAAGCCCAAGUCUCCUCCUAUGAAAACUCAAGCUAAGUAGAUUAAGGUGCCUAUAGCUAUCACGACUGAAGUUGUCUCUGAGGCACCAAAGACUUCAAAGAAACCAAUCCUGCCAGAGCAUGCCUAGAAGGAGGCUAGAAAGAAUAAGAAAGAAAAAAAAUGCUUUGAGGAAGAGUAGAAGGCUUAAUGCCUAGCUGGUAUUUCUCUUAACCUUUAUUGAGGGGAAACCUAUGGCGGGCCCCAUUUCAUCAGCUGACAGUAAGGACAUUGUCCUUAAAUUAAGUCUGGGGGAGUGGCGGCUUAUGUCGUAACCUUGUCCAUCAAUCCAAUCAUUAUCAUCAUCAUCUGUUUUGUUGUUGUUUAAUUAAGUUGUUUGCUUUUAAUAUUUUGUUGUUGGUUGGCUGCCUUCAGCCGUAUUUCUAUUAAAUCAAUGAAACUGUAUUUGUAACCCCUAGAAGACAUAAUAAAAACAGAGGAAAAAAACUGACUGCAACCCCUAGAAGACAAACAACUCUAAAAGACUUAGGAAAAAUCUGGUAGGAUUAUGACAAUAUCGGAAACAAGGUCUUAAUUGCUAAUCAAUUGCACCCUUGUGUUUUUUAUAACCCCCGUCGCAUCUCUAGUAGUCAGAAAAGUAGGUAGCCUUUUGAUAAAAUUGAAUUAUUUUAAAGUAUGGAAUAUGAGUUCACUGUAGGAUUUACUCAGGGGAGGUUACUAAUGAUGUUUAGCAUCUAGUACAUUGGACAUACUGCAUAUGAAAAUAAACAUACAAAAGUGUGUAAAUGAAGUAAGUCAAAAUGCACUUCUUAAAUAAGUUCAUGUACCCGAAACUAGAGAAAUAGUAGGUGUCUUCACCAUUAAUACUAGAUUUGACUCAUUACAAGUGAGAUCAUGUCAGGGGAAAAGGUGGAGCAUCUAUCAAGUUUAUCAAUAAAUGCACGUCUGUUCCUAAGUACAAAAGUCUGAAAAUAGAAUAGUCAAAUCCCCCUGAUGAAAUUGAAAAAUAAAGUCUUGAACCAUAAGAUAAGGCAACCAAAGUUAAAUCAAGGCUAACUAUCUUUGAAUGAAGAGUACUGGUGUGGCAUGUAACAUCAAUAAUGCACAGAGCACGCGCACAUACACACACUUGUGAUCAAGCUUCAAGGAUAAGUUCAAAAUGAUGCUUCAAAAGCCUUUAAUACAUUACUCAUUCACUAAGGAUCAUAUUACUCACUACGCAUCACUAAUGGUUGAGAUAACUUCAAAAAAUGUUUGAAAGUAGACAAAUGUUCUAAAGAAGAGGAAAUAUCAUCAUUAACUAGCACAAAGACACAUGUCAAUCACCCGCAACGAAACGUUACCUAUUACAAGAAAGACAUUUAAAACACAUAUUCCGAAGGGCAACAAUGUCACAUCAAAGGCUUUCAUGUCCUCGAAUUCAGUGGUUGAAUAGGAACACUUAUUACAAACCUUCGCCUUGCAAAGCUGGCACAAGGAUUUGGAAGACAACUAUUAUGGGCCGCCCAUAAUACCUAAGGAUAAAGUUCCAAUAGUAAAACAAAAGAGUAAAGUGUAGAACAAUUAAACUCGUUUUCUCUUUCUGAGCAUGCAAUCUUGCAUAUGGAAGGUCUACUGGACAUCUAGAUCAAUUCGACAAUUGACCGUGAUCCACACCCUAUUCCACGCUUUCUAUUGCCAACCACUUCUCCUAUUUAAGCGAAUGGAUUACCUCCCUCAUAACAUUUUGUGGAUCACAACUCUAAAUCAUGGUUAAAGACUUUUAUCUUUAAAAAAAAAUAGAUAGGUCUGAAUUGAAACAGAGUUAGUAUGUGACUGUGGGCGAAAUUGAAUGCACGGUUACCUUGACAUUGAAACACAGAGUAGUUUGUGACUUUGACAUUAGAAUUUUAAGAGAGAAAUUAGUGGAAUACUAAUGUGUUUUAAGGGAUUGAGCGUGAUAUGAAUAUCCUUUUCUGAGUUUAUUAUCAACACCCUGCGGCUUGAUUGUGAUAGGAAUAUUCCAUCUAUCUAUCCAUCCACAGGUGAAACACCAUUACCAACUUAUUCAUUCAUUCAAGUGAUUGUGUAAGUAACACUACAUGUGUACUAGUACUACUACUGUCUUUUAUUACGUUAAACCGACACGUUGUAGGAAACACGUCUUAGAUAGAUGAGAAUAUCUAUAAUUUUUGUCCUAUUUAACUAUUUUUAAAGACACUAGUAAUUUUAAGAAUACUAAUUUUACCCUUUUGCUUUUAUUUUAAUAGCUGAAAUUAUAAUAUUUUUUAAAAAUUUUAUUUAUAAGAAAAAAAUGAUUUUUUAAAUUUAUUAAAUAAACAAUAUAUUUAAUUUAUCAUACAUACAUUAAUUAAAUAAAUUUAAAAAAAUAAUUAUUUUUUUAUAAAUAGAAUAAAAGUUAGUAUGUUUUAUCUUUUUGUUUUUAUUUUAUAGCUGGAAUUUCAGUUAUUAAAAACGAAUAUGUUAAAAUGUUAUAGGUUGGAACCCAUGUCUUUCCAAUUAUAUGUUAUUGCAUAACUAUAAACUAUGUUGAACUACACUAAUUUAAGCAUAUAUUUGGAAAAAGUUACCUGGAAAUUAGAAGUGACACAAUGUUUUAGAAACAAAUAUUUGUUACGAUAAGUGUGUUAACAAAUAGGCCACCGACAUACGACAGUUGCGACCAGCAGAGGUUGCUAACGUGCGCGUCAUCAAUCUCUACUAUUCAAGCUAAGUUCAUUCAUUGUCUUCUUCUUCUUCCUCACCUUCUCAAAUCCUCACAUUCCCAAUUUCUUCACUCUGCAAACCCAAUUUCUAGGGUUUUCCAUAAAUCACAAACCUCACGGUGGUUCAAUUCAAUCCACCGCCGAUUGUUAUGUAAUGAGGCGGCGCCCUGUGGCGGCCAUUCUCCAAGAUCAAAUGGAGAAAUCAACAACCAAAACCCAAAAUUCCCGAAUCUGCUUCCUCGCUAUUCUCACCGCUUUCUUCUGGCUCUUUCUCCUUUACUUCCAUUUCAUCAUCCUCCCCCAACAAAAUCAACCACAAUCCACCAUUUCCACCACCGUAAACAACCAACUAACAUCCCUCCACCACCAACCAUAUUCACCGCCACCGCCACCGCCACCACCACCGCCAGCAUCAUUACCCAAAUUCAAGAGUCCUCCAAGGAAGAACUUUGGCUUCCCUGAUAAGUCAACACUACAAUCACAAUCCCCUCC